Molecule: ribosomal RNA, 212 nt
Filed under: uncultured bacterium
Lineage: Bacteria
Description: partial 16S ribosomal RNA
Rfam family: Bacterial small subunit ribosomal RNA
Source: RNAcentral
UACGUAGGUGACAAGCGUUGUCCGGAUUUACUGGGCGUAAAGAGCGCGCAGGCGGUCGUUCAAGUCGAGUGUGAAAGCCCCCGGCUCAACUGGGGAGGGUCAUUCGAUACUGAUCGACUCGAAGGCAGGAGAGGGUAGUGGAAUUCCCGGUGUAGUGGUGGAAUGCGUAGAGCUCCGGAGGAACACCAGUGGCGAAGGACGGCCGGCCCUGG